ACUCAAAUGAAUUGACGGGGGCCCGCACAAGCAGUGGAGUAUGUGGUUUAAUUCGAAGCAACGCGAAGAACCUUACCAGGGCUUGACAUCCCUCGAAGGUUGUAGAAAUACAACUGUCCUACGGGACGAGGAGACAGGUGGUGCAUGGUUGUCGUCAGCUCGUGUCGUGAGAUGUUGGGUUAAGUCCCGCAACGAGCGCAACCCCUGUUGUUAGUUGCCAUCAAGUGAAGUUGGGCACUCUAACGAGACUGCCGGUGACAAAUCGGAGGAAGGUGGGGACGACGUCAAAUCAUCAUGCCCCUUAUGUCCUGGGCUACACACGUACUACAAUGGCUACUACAGAGGGAAGCGAGGCCGCAAGGCAGAGCAAAUCCCAAAAAGGUAGUCCCAGUUCGGAUUGUAGGCUGCAACUCGCCUACAUGAAGUCGGAAUUGCUAGUAAUGGCAGGUCAGCAUACUGCCGUGAAUACGUUCCCGGGCCUUGUACACACCGCCCGU
This 497-nucleotide ribosomal RNA is filed under the name uncultured bacterium. RNAcentral describes it as "bacterial SSU rRNA". It matches the Rfam family "Bacterial small subunit ribosomal RNA", at positions 899 to 1397 of the family's 1533-position model. The record is from RNAcentral.